This 457-nucleotide ribosomal RNA is filed under the name uncultured bacterium. RNAcentral's name for it is "partial 16S ribosomal RNA". It matches the Rfam family "Bacterial small subunit ribosomal RNA", at positions 28 to 523 of the family's 1533-position model. The record is from RNAcentral.
GAUAAACGCUGGCGGCGUGCCUUAUACAUGCAAGUCGAACGUCCGCAAGGACGUGGCGAACGGGUGAGUAACACGCAGGUACAUUCCCCAAGUUUGGGAUAACCCGCCGAAAGGCGGGCUAAUCCCGGAUGUGAUCGCAAGAUUAAAGGUCCGGUGCAAAUCGGAUCGCUUGGAAAAUGGCCUGCGGCCUAUCAGCUAGUUGGCGGGGUAAAUGCCCACCAAGGCGAUGACGGGUAGCUGGUCUUAUGAGGAUGAUCAGCCACACUGGGACUGAGACACGGCCCAGACUCCUACGGGAGGCAGCAGUGGGGAAUAUUGGACAAUGGGGGCAACCCUGAUCCAGCCAUGCCGCGUGAGUGAUGAAGGCCUUAGGGUUGUAAAGCUCUUUUGCCAGGGAAGAUAAUGACUGUACCUGGAGAAUAAGCCCCGGCUAACUUCGUGCCAGCCGCCGCAGUAA